CCUGGACGCACUUCCGCGGCCGCGGAGGCAGACGCCGCGAGAGGCUGCUCCGAGUGGGCGAGCGGGAUGCUCGGGCCGUGAGGGGUCGGCCCAGAUUUUCUCUUCUUUGUGUGCUGCUGUUUCAUCUAAGCUUGAUAAGCUGAUUUCAGAGGAUCAGGUACACUAAAGGGUAAGUGUGUCCUGGGCUUGUAGAAUGUUUCCCUUUCUUCUGCUUUCUCGGUCAGGAGCAGUGCUUUUCUUCUUCAGCAAAAUAACAGCAUAAAACCCUUGUGGGACAGUGACUGAUGAUUACGGUUUCCAAGAAAACCCAAAUUACAGAUAGAAGGGAUGGCAGGUAUUAACAGCAAGAAUUAAUUUAGUGGCUAUGAGACAUACAUUCUUUUGAAGUGAUUCCUUGGAAUUGUCCCUUAAAAAAAAUUAUAAUGGGUUUGUGAGUUCCUAAAGCUCUUAGCCACUGUUUCUGCAUCAGCCUUCUUUGAACUCUCUUCAAAGCCAGAGGAAACAUCCUUUAAAAUACCGUUUGUUCAAAAUGAUAUCAUUGAUAGCAUUUGUGUACCAAAUGUUCUUCCCUGAAAGUCAUUCUGGCACAGGUGACAGAUGUGAAGUGGCUGUUCUGGAACAGAGCAUUUGAUUUGGUCAGGAACCACUCCAGAACUAAAAUUCUGUCAUCAUUGCUAGAUAAGUGUUUCUGGUUUUGUUUUUCAUCUUUCAAAAGUAGAGAGACCUUUGGCCACUAAGGAGCAGAAAGCAAGCACUCAAUCUAGAAACAGCCUGAGUGCUUGUGAGAACAGGAUGUGGUGACUUAUCCCAAAUGAAAUGAGUGGAACUUACACCAAAGCACAUUUAUAAUUUCCUCCGUAUCCCAGCUAGAUACGUAUGGACAGCUGUGUAUUUAUUCCGUCUCAGCAAGUUCCUCCUGUGUGCCAGUAGUAAACACAAUGCACACAGCAAGGAUCUCUGGCCCGAGAUGAGUCUGUUGGGAAAGAACAGUAUGUAAACAAGGAAGUGUAAGCAUCCGCACUGCUACCAAAGAAAACGUAAAACAGUGCUGUUCACGUCAUGCAGCCAAGGAUGGGGGAAGGCUGUGACCAGAAAGAAGAGGGUUAGGUGGGUCUCUCCGGCAAGUGACCAGAUACCAGUUAAACGAAGAACAAGGUGGGACCCCGAAAGCUGUUAGAGGGUUGGAGAGCUGGCUUAGCGAUUUGGAGAACGUGCUGCUCCUGCAGAGGGCCUGGCUUGGUUCCCAGCACCCACGUGCCAGCUCCCAAGCAUCUGUAACUGCAGUUUCAGAGGAUCCAACACUCUUCUGGCCUUCUCGGGCACGGUGUGCAUGUGGGCAUAGACAUACGUGCAGGCACAGCAUUCAUACACAUACACUAAAAACAAACCUUAGAAACGAGUUUGGAAGAUCACCGUGUGGCCAAGCUCUUAGUUAAACUAAAGUGGAGAAUUUGGAAAGGUAAGCGGAAAUGGUUACACGGACAGUGAGGUGUGCAAGGUGAGGGUGGUUACACGGACAGUGAGGUGUGCAAGGUGAGGGUGAUUACACACAGUGAGGUGUGCAAGGUGAGAGUGAUUACACGGACAGUGAGGUGUGCAAGGUGAGGGUGGUUACACGGACAGUGAGGUGUGCAAGGUGAGAGUGAUUACACAGUGAGGUGUGCAAGGUGAGAGUGAUUACACAGUGAGGUGUGCAAGGUGAGAGUGAUUACACAGUGAGGUGUGCAAGGUGAGAGUGGUUACACGGACAGUGAGGUGUGCAAGGUGAGGGUGAUUACACGGACAGUGAGGUGUGCAAGGUGAGAGUGAUUACACAGUGAGGUGUGCAAGGUGAGGGUGAUUACACGGACAGUGAGGUGUGCAAGGUGAGAGUGAUUACACAGACAGUGAGGUGUGCAAGGUGAGAGUGAUUACACAGACAGUGAGGUGUGCAAGGUGAGGGUGAUUACACAGACAGUGAGGUGUGCAAGGUGAGAGUGAUUACACGGACAGUGAGGUGUGCAAGGUGAGGGUGAUUACACGGACAGUGAGGUGUGCAAGGUGAGAGUGAUUACACAGUGAGGUGUGCAAGGUGAGGGUGAUUACACAGACAGUGAGGUGUGCAAGGUGAGAGUGAUUACACAGACAGUGAGGUGUGCAAGGUGAGAGUGAUUACACGGACAGUGAGGUGUGCAAGGUGAGAGUGAUUACACAGUGAGGUGUGCAAGGUGAGGGUGGUUACACGGACAGUGAGGUGUGCAAGGUGAGGGUGGUUACACGGACAGUGAGGUGUGCAAGGUGAGGGUGAUUACACGGACAGUGAGGUGUGCAAGGUGAGAGUGAUUACACGGACAGUGAGGUGUGCAAGGUGAGAGUGAUUACACGGACAGUGAGGUGUGCAAGGUGAGGGUGGUUACACGGACAGUGAGGUGUGCAAGGUGAGAGUGAUUACACAGUGAGGUGUGCAAGGUGAGGGUGAUUACACAGACAGUGAGGUGUGCAAGGUGAGGGUGAUUACACAGACAGUGAGGUGUGCAAGGUGAGAGUGAUUACACGGACAGUGAGGUGUGCAAGGUGAGAGUGAUUACACAGUGAGGUGUGCAAGGUGAGAGUGAUUACACAGUGAGGUGUGCAAGGUGAGGGUGAUUACACAGACAGUGAGGUGUGCAAGGUGAGGGUGAUUACACAGACAGUGAGGUGUGCAAGGUGAGGGUGGUUACACGGACAGUGAGGUGUGCAAGGUGAGGGUGGUUACACGGACAGUGAGGUGUGCAAGGUGAGGGUGGUUACACGGACAGUGAGGUGUGCAAGGUGAGGGUGAUUACACGGACAGUGAGGUGUGCAAGGUGAGGGUGGUUACACGGACAGUGAGGUGUGCAAGGUGAGAGUGAUUACACGGACAGUGAGGUGUGCAAGGUGAGGGUGGUUACACGGACAGUGAGGUGUGCAAGGUGAGGGUGAUUACACAGACAGUGAGGUGUGCAAGGUGAGAGAGUGGCACAUAGGAGCCUGGAUUGGGCACAAGCUCGACGGCACUCGCUGGGGGAGGUUUGCCCCUGAGAGUCUGUUGUUGAGGAAAUGGGGUCUCAGAAGAUAUUCUGGAUAUAGAGCUGAUUGACAAAGCACAAGAGUGGAAGCCUGUUUACCCUCGCGAGUCUGAACAAGUCCUCAUCUGGAAGACAGCAGUUUGACAACUAAAUACAUCCUUUCCCCAUCACCCUACAAAAUGUUAUCUCCGAGUGGAAUGAGACAUCAAAUUAUACAUAUGUAGAGUUCAUAACGGGGUAAAAAGUGAAAUGACCAGAGGACGUUGUCAGGUGCUAAACAUUAAUUUCAGCACUGCGGUUGAACCUGAAGAUUUGAGAUUACUAAUGUUCUCCUUCUGAAGCACAUUUCAUGGUGUCUUCGUUGACUGUACGAAACUGCUAGUCCUUGGUGUAUCAUCAUAGCAAAUUCAGAGAACUGAUGCAGAACUUACGUUAACUUGAAGCAGGGUGUAAAUACACUUGGUACUGAAAUACAUGUUAGUCUGCCCAUGUUCAUUAAUAUUGUCUGUCUGUAGGCUAAGGAUUACAGGAAAGUAUUAAUAAUAAAGCUGUAUAUACUGAUACUGUUCCUUAUUGCCUUUGGG
This is an RNA transcript of Peromyscus leucopus (white-footed mouse), 3610 nucleotides long. It is a transcript of the gene named claudin 12, with no coding region annotated. The record is from RefSeq and is a predicted model, not a curated record. The transcript is spliced from 3 exons. Lineage: Eukaryota; Metazoa; Chordata; Mammalia; Rodentia; Cricetidae.